RNAcentral lists this ribosomal RNA (490 nucleotides) under uncultured bacterium. RNAcentral describes it as "partial 16S ribosomal RNA". It matches the Rfam family "Bacterial small subunit ribosomal RNA", at positions 30 to 507 of the family's 1533-position model. The record is from RNAcentral.
AUUGAACGCUGGCGGCAGGCCUAACACAUGCAAGUCGAACGGUAACAGGAAGCAGCUUGCUGCUUUGCUGACGAGUGGCGGACGGGUGAGUAAUGUCUGGGAAACUGCCUGGUGGAGGGGGAUAACUACUGGAAACGGUAGCUAAUACCGCAUAACGUCGCAAGACCAAAGAGGGGGACCUUCGGGCCUCUUGCCAUCGGAUGUGCCCAGAUGGGAUUAGCUUGUUGGUGGGGUAACGGCUCACCAAGGCGACGAUCCCUAGCUGGUCUGAGAGGAUGACCAGCCACACUGGAACUGAGACACGGUCCAGACUCCUACGGGAGGCAGCAGUGGGGAAUAUUGCACAAUGGGCGCAAGCCUGAUGCAGCCAUGCCGCGUGUAUGAAGAAGGCCUUCGGGUUGUAAAAUACUUUCAGCGGGGAGGAAGGGAGUAAAGUUAAUACCUUUACUCAUUGACGUUACCCGCAGAAGAAGCACCGGCUAACUCCGUG